RNAcentral lists this ribosomal RNA (439 nucleotides) under uncultured bacterium. Its description in RNAcentral is "partial 16S ribosomal RNA". It matches the Rfam family "Bacterial small subunit ribosomal RNA", at positions 339 to 795 of the family's 1533-position model. The record is from RNAcentral.
CUACGGGUGGCUGCAGUGGGGAAUAUUGCACAAUGGGGGGAACCCUGAUGCAGCAACGCCGCGUGGAGGAUGACGCAUUUCGGUGUGUAAACUCCUUUUAUAUGUCAAGAAAAUGACGGUAGCAUAUGAAUAAGCACCGGCUAACUCCGUGCCAGCAGCCGCGGUAAUACGGAGGGUGCAAGCGUUACUCGGAAUCACUGGGCGUAAAGGACGCGUAGGCGGGUUGGAAAGUCAGGUGUGAAAUCCUACAGCUUAACUGUAGAACUGCACUUGAAACUUCUAAUCUAGAGUAUGGGAGGGGGAGAUAGAAUUAGUGGUGUAGGGGUAAAAUCCGUAGAGAUCACUAGGAAUACCUAAAGCGAAGGCGAUCUCCUGGAACAUUACUGACGCUAAGGCGUGAAAGCGUGGGGAGCAAACAGGAUUAGAUACCCUCGUAGUC